Molecule: long non-coding RNA, 355 nt
Organism: Diorhabda carinulata
Lineage: Eukaryota; Metazoa; Arthropoda; Insecta; Coleoptera; Chrysomelidae
Exons: 3
Source: RefSeq, a predicted model, not a curated record
GUUCCGUUUUUGGUGGAAAUUUCGAAGAUAAAUUUAACCUACCAAAACCUUAAUUAAGUUGUGUGAUAGAUUUUAGGUGUUUUAUCCAUCACUCCAAAAUUUGAAAUAAUCAUUAAAUAUUUUAAUUACAAACCAGAGAAUUCCGAAUUUAUAUAAACCAUGCCGAUAAGUUAUUUUUUGAGUCAGUUAUUCCAUACAGAAGUAGAUAUAACAGCAUGUAAGAUCUUUUCUAUUAGAACAUCUUUAGUAUUUCAGGUUGUUAGUGCAAUUACUUCAUACGUAAUAUUAUGUAUUCAGCUCCAUAUUUAAAACAUCUUCAUGACAAACAAUAGUAAUUUAAUUAAAAAUUUCUUCU